RNAcentral lists this RNase P RNA (330 nucleotides) under Flavobacterium croceum DSM 17960. RNAcentral's name for it is "Bacterial RNase P class A". It matches the Rfam family "Bacterial RNase P class A". From Rfam's summary of the family: Ribonuclease P (RNase P) is a ubiquitous endoribonuclease, found in archaea, bacteria and eukarya as well as chloroplasts and mitochondria. The record is from Rfam by way of RNAcentral. Lineage: Bacteria; Pseudomonadati; Bacteroidota; Flavobacteriia; Flavobacteriales; Flavobacteriaceae.
CAAGCAGACCGCCUUAUCGCUGGUUCUUUUAAGAAUCAGAGGAAAGUCUGGACACCAUAGAGCAGUAUAGCGGGUAACACCCGUCGGUAAAGUUUUAGUAUUAAAAUUUUAUUAGGACAAGUGCAACAGAAAGAAUGUACAGUUCGGCUGUAGUGAAAUCAGGUAAACUCUAUGCGGUGAAAUGCCAUGUAUAUCAGCAGUUAAGGGUUGCUCGCUCGUUGCUGAGGGGUAGGCAGAUAGAGCUAUUUGGCAACAAAUAGUCUAGAUAAAUGAUAAGGGCUUUUUAGGUAAUAAAAAGUACAGAAUCCGGCUUAUAGGUCUGCUUUUUUA